This 208-nucleotide long non-coding RNA is filed under the name Mytilus galloprovincialis (Mediterranean mussel). Lineage: Eukaryota; Metazoa; Mollusca; Bivalvia; Mytilida; Mytilidae. The record is from RNAcentral.
GAGUAUGGUCUUGAGGAAACGAUGAUAGUCCGUCGGAAGGGGACGAUAAAUAGCUGACCCGUGUUAAGAGAGAGCCAUAUCUCUUGCACGUUAAAGACACCCUUGUAGAUUUCGAAAAAGAGUAGGCUAAUGCCACUACAAGGCAGCACUCGCACCCGCAAAGUGGAAAGGGAUUAAUAUAAGUUGCAAAACUUGUUUCCCAAUCCAC